AUUUUUGCUCAUUUGUAAAAGCACUAACAAGUAUUGUGUGCAAAUAAAAUCCUUCGCACAGCAUCCAAGAAUAAUUUGAGACUAAAAAAUAAUGGAGAAUUAUAUGAAGAAGUCGACAAAUCAUCUGUAAAAGAAAAUAAAUAAUUAAGAAAAUAAUUGAGGUGAAUUUUAUAAUUAUACACUUACUCCAUUAUUUAAAAGAACAUCGGGAUUUGCAACAACGAAUCCGUACCAGAUUAACCACAAGGCAUUAUUGACGGCAAAAGAUGCAAAUAGAUUCAUGUGAAGGAUUAUUCUGGUACAUCUUAGAGAUCUGAAAUCGCAACUUACCGAAAAUAUAUCAAGAUACCAAGAGACACUAAUAAAGCGAUCAAUGAUAUUGAAUAUCCGACUUCGUAGACAAUAUUUAGAUCUUGUUGCCACUGUAAUUAAAAUUAAAAUUUAAAAAUAAUAA
Leptopilina boulardi is the source of this 454-nucleotide long non-coding RNA. RefSeq lists it as uncharacterized. The transcript is spliced from 3 exons. The record is from RefSeq and is a predicted model, not a curated record. Lineage: Eukaryota; Metazoa; Arthropoda; Insecta; Hymenoptera; Figitidae.